RNAcentral lists this long non-coding RNA (2964 nucleotides) under Lupinus angustifolius (narrow-leaved blue lupine). RNAcentral's name for it is "long non-coding RNA (LANG_LNC000871)". Lineage: Eukaryota; Viridiplantae; Streptophyta; Magnoliopsida; Fabales; Fabaceae. The record is from RNAcentral.
UGCUGCUGAAAAAGGGAGAAAGAAAGAAUGGAAACAUUUUAUCACCCAUAUGACUUCUUCUCAUCAUAAGGUUUAGUUUCUAAUUCAUUUUCUUUUAAUUACUUGUAUCAUCAUGUCUUCUCUUUACUCCUGCAAAAUAUAUGUUCUAUUCAAGCCUUUGGUUGCACGAAAAUAAAUUUCUACACUUGAAUAAUUUUCCCCUUUAUUAAUUCAAGUUAGUCUUACCUUGUUCCACAUGAGGGUAAAUUAUUAUUUUCUUGGCUUUAUCCAAAUGGUAGACACAAGAUAUAGUAGGGUCAGAUCUUCAUUAUUUUACUUGGGGCACUUAUGUGAAUAAUCUUCAUUAUUUUGAUGGAAGUGUACAUAACAUCUAUAUAUACAUUUGUUAUCUCUCGUUACUGUGUUAUAGCAUGACAAAACCCUUAUAUAUGUAUAAAUUGUGCAUAAGUUGAAAUUAUUAAUUGAAGGGUAGAAUAAAAGGUUUUUAAAAAGAAUAAUCCUUUUGUAUCUUUGUAGUCUUUACACUUUAUCUGACAAAGUAUAUAUUUCACUUGAACCAUUAUGGCUAUGUAAACAAUUAAAAGAUCAAUUGUCUUUACACCUUCAAUUCACAGGUCCCUAGCCUCUUAUUAUUCUCACGUGCAGCCACUGAUACUUUUAGAUAAGUCACCAAUGUUGUUUUAUUUUAAACAUGUGUAGUAAGGAUUUGAGAGAAAGGGUGUUAGUUUUAUUUAGUAAAUAAUAAUCCUUUUGAAACCUAUCCAAAUUAAUUGUUGUUUUCUUAUUAACGUAACUUUUCCAUUUGAUUCAUGGAUGGACAGUGUUUUUAAUUAUACAUAGAAAGUGUUUUAAUCAUCUAUAAAAGGAAUUUAACUAUUUUAAAUGAAGUGGUUUUGAUUAUUUGUAAGUUGUUGGUCUAUGCUAAAUUAUUGUAGUAUUGGUUUUAACUUUAUAUGUAUUGCAGAGAUUCAUAAAACAAAGUAGUAUGUGUUAUUUCUAACGUAUUAUUUUAUAAAUUGUUGACCAAUUCUAGUUUAGUUGUUAGUUUUAGAUGGAGUAGAAUUUGAUUUAUUUUCUUUAUUGUUAAAUUAUUGUAGUAUUGGUUUUAACUUUAUAUGUAUUGCAGAGAUUCAUAAAACAAAGUAGUAUGUAUUAUUUUAUAAAUUGUUGACCAAUUCUAGUUUAGUUGUUAGUUUUAGAUGGAGUAGAAUUUGAUUUAUUUUCUUUAUUGUUAUUGGCAUGUUGUGAGAAGAGGUUCUGAAGUUGAAGGAUAGGAUGUGACAUCUUGUUUGAUUGUUGGAGAAGGAACUUGCAUAAAUCCAGGUGAGGGAGAAGACCAUUGUGGUCUUAGAGUAUUUCAUUGAAGUUUUUCCUCUCCGAUUCCCUCAAAAGUCGGAGAGUCUUGUAGAUUAGGAACUCCAAUGGAAACUUGUUUCCAUGUAAGAGUCCUUAAUCCUUUUUCAUGACGAUGUAUAUAGUCUUAGAUAUUUGAUUGUGCUGGAAAUAUAUGUGUAUGAAUUCAUUGUUGUGUGUAACAUAAUGCGAGGUACUCGCUUAUGGUAUUACAUCGUCAUGAAAGGUUGUUAAAUAAUUAUGUUUGAAUGCAUGGGAGUAUGGUGAUUAAUUAAUAAUUGUUUUGUGUUGAAUGUUUGUGACAAUGUCGUAAUUCAGAAAUAUCUCAAUAGUAAUGGUUAUGUUAUGGAUUGUUGUAUAGUUGUAUUGAAAUGGAAAAUAUAUGUAAGUGGUUGUUAUAUUGAUAUGAAAAAUACAAGAGUUUGAAAUUGAGGUCUUGCUUGUAUAUUAAAUCAUUAAGUUAAUGUUUUGAGCUCGUCCUGAGGACAUGUAAUAGUAAAAAUGCACUGGGGCUGAGACAACUAACUUAGGUUGUGUUUUUGGAAAGAUUGAAUUUGAUGAGAGCCUAUGUCUGUUCACACACUUGAAAGUAUAUUGAGAAUUUGGGCUUUACUUAAUGAUCUUGAAUACUAAGUUAGUGUCUUGAGUUCGUCCAUUGGACUUGGCAUGAUAGAAAUGCAUUGGGGCUGAGACGACUAACUUAGGUGAUGUUUGUUGAAAUAACAAAAUUGACCUUGAUUAAAAGAUUUAAUGGACUAAAUUCGGUUAGUGUACAUGCAUUGCAUUCGUGUAGUUGGAGUUGGAGAAAAUGGAAAGAUACGAUGAUAGAAAUAUCAUUGGGAUUUGGAUAGGGGCGACAAUGACGGUGAUUCGUCAAGAAGCCUUGAGGGAUUGCUUAGGUGGGAUAGUCUAGUGAGGGUCCGGGUUCAUUACUCGUAUAACCAGGAUAGUCUUACAUGCAAACUAAGCGGUCUCUGACACCCCUUGCGCAUUUCAUAAUCGGUAGAGAGGAAUCCUGAAACGGACUGGGCUUACCACGUAAGCACCUCUGGUAGAGGUAAUUGGAAAACAAUUGAUAUUGUUACUUGCCGUUGUUAAGGAUAUAUGUACUCUUGGUUGCUUUCCCACUAGGAUCUUGGCCUUCGGUAUUGUAAUUUUGGUGGUGAUUGGUUGGUGAAUUGCAUAUUACAUUGCAUGAAAGAUAUAUUAAUUGUGGAUGUGAAUAUCCUCUUGAAUAAGACACUAACUUCAUGCAUCAUUUGCAUAUGUUUGACAUUGUUNNNNNNNNNNNNNNNNNNNNNNNNNNNNNNNNNNNNNNNNNNNNNNNNNNNNNNNNNNNNNNNNNNNNNNNNNNNNNNNNNNNNNNNNNNNNNNNNNNNNUCCCUUUUCUUUGUCUUUUCUUUUGUCUAUACUGUGUGUAUAUCCAGGUUUGUUGCAGUUGCUCUAUGGAUAUCCAUUGAUGGAAAUAUAGACAAGAAGAACUUAGCUGAUAUAUAGUUAAGUAUCUUGUUUAUAUUGGGAUUAUUGGCUCUGAUUUACGAAUACCCUUGUCUUUUGAACUAAUUUUUGUGUAAGUUAUAUUUUAUAAAAAAUACUUAAGAGUGAUUCUUU